UACGUAGGGUGCGAGCGUUGUCCGGAAUUAUUGGGCGUAAAGGGCUCGUAGGCGGUUUGUCACGUCGGGAGUGAAAACUCGGGGCUCAACCCCGAGCUUGCUUCCGAUACGGGCUAACUAGAGGUAUGCAGGGGAGAACGGAAUUCCUGGUGUAGCGGUGAAAUGCGCAGAUAUCAGGAGGAACACCGGUGGCGAAGGCGGUUCUCUGGGCAUUACCUGACGCUGAGGAGCGAAAGUGUGGGGAGCGAACAGGAUUAGAAACCCUUGUAGUCC
This 273-nucleotide ribosomal RNA is filed under the name uncultured prokaryote. RNAcentral's name for it is "partial 16S ribosomal RNA". It matches the Rfam family "Bacterial small subunit ribosomal RNA", at positions 524 to 796 of the family's 1533-position model. The record is from RNAcentral.